AUGUGUGCUGUGCUUAGUUGCUCAGUCAUGUCUGACUCUGCAACCCCUUGUACUGUAGCCUGCCAGGCUCAUCUGUCCAUGGGAUUCUCCAGGCCAGAAUACUGGAGUGGGUUGCCAUGCCUUCCUCCAGGGGGUCUCCCCAACCCAGGGAUUGAACUCAGGUCUCCCAGGUUGCAGGUGGAUUCUUCACCAUCUGAGGCACCAGAGAUCGUUGAAGGCCACGUUGUCAAUGUGAAGUUGGCCCGGCGUGUUCUGACCACAGGAGUGGUAGCCAUCAAGGCCAUUACUAAGACAAAUCAGAGCUUCGCCAGCAUCCAGGAACUGUUUUGAGAGGUUAACAGCAUGAGAAUCUUAAACCACCCGAAUGUUGUCAACCUCCUGGAAGUGAUUGACACUGAGGAGACUGUGUUUAUAGUAAUUGAGUUCCUCCGCGGGGCAGACUUGUUCACCCUCAGGGACGCCAAAGACAGAGGCGGAGGCCCAAGGCCAGUUCUGCCAGCUGGACUCGGCUCUGCAGAACUGCUAGCAUCCCGGUGUGGUGCACGGGGACUUGAAGCACCUCCGCCUUGAUGGGAAGAACAACGUCAAGCUCUCCCCGACUUUGGCCUAACAACCAGUGGCACCCAGGAAAGCAGCUAGACACUUUCUGCGGGAGCCCCGCGUUCAUGGCCCCAGAAGGAUUCCUAGGGAUGCCUUAGGCAGGCCCAGCCGUGGACGUGUGAAGCCUCGACGGCGUCCUGUACACCAUGGUAACUAGACGCCUCCUCUUUGGGGGACAAGAUUUCUGGGAGCUCCAGCAGCGUGUGCUUAGAGGGCAGUAGCAUGUGCCCAAAUACAUAUCCAAUCAGAUAAUAGACUUACUCUGAAGAAUGCAAACGCUCAACCUACCAACAGAGGUACUUUAGAUGAUGUUUGCCAGCGUCCAUGUGUGAACAUGGGCCAGGAAGAGCCACUGCCGCCAGCCUGUGAAGAGCACUCCCUCCCAGGUUACCUCCUGGGCAUCGGGCCUCUGCCUCCGUCGUGCGGCCUGUGGCCUCCAGGUGGUAGACAGGUCUCCCCAGUGGACAAAUGCCAUUACUAGAAAGUGUGAGAUGAUCCUGGGCUGGUGGAGGGACCAGAUCCAGGGCUUCGACGUACUCAGUGCUAUUGAUAGCGUGCACGUGAAUGAUCCCUGCAUGGUGGCCCGCGCCAUCGUUGUGAGGCCAGCUUUUUCCUCCGACCUCAACAGCGAAGAACAUACACCUCCCGCCAAGCCCUGAGAUGCCCAUGCUUAAACCCGACUGAAUUUGGGAGACCAUCCAGCAGCAGGAGAACCGGGAGUCAGGGAGAAGGCCAGAGAGCCUGCCACACCCCAACCCUGCCCAGAGGCAAGGACCUUUACCCGCAGCCCAGCCCCCUCCACUCACAACACCCACGAUGCCAGCAGCACCCUAGCCACAGAUCAUGCCACUGACCGCCAGGACACGUGCGGGACCAGGCUCACCUGCGGCAGGCGUGACAGCAGCCACACCCAUGACACCAGCGUUACCCGUGGCACCAGAGACGCCUGUGACACCAUCAGCACCUGCGACAGCUGCGAUACCACAGGUACCAGCCUCAUCUGUGAUGCCUGCACCAGCCGUGACACAAGCUACACCUGGUACACCAGCCCACCUAUGAAGCCCUAAGCACCCAGGAGGCCACUGGGGAAUGCAAUAUUGAUGACACCCGUGACACCCACGAUACCUGCAUCACCAGUGACACCUGCCUCGCACAUGACCCCAGAGGCACCCGUGACCCCAGAGGCACCCGUGGCCCCCUUGGUGACCGCACCAUCCAUGAUACUUCUGCCACUAUCACCCGUGACACCAGGGUCCCUGCGACACUGAGGGCACUCACGGCACCUGUGACUCCUGCAACACCAAUGGCACCCAUGACACCGACGGUAAAGUUGCAGAAGAAAUCCACUGCCUUCCGCAUGUGCCUUGCGCGGCAAGCUCCACUCUUUUUGGGCACCCCGAGAAUAUGUCCCCAGUCACUCCCCGUGGCGUCACCCAGAAAAAGAAGGCAGUGCCUGGGAGAAUCUGGAGAUGUCUGUCUGAGUAUAUUUGUUUGGGCUGCGCAGCAAGAGGGCUAUUAAUAAAGUGCUACCAGAAACAGCCA
Molecule: long non-coding RNA, 2142 nt
Organism: Bos mutus (wild yak)
Lineage: Eukaryota; Metazoa; Chordata; Mammalia; Artiodactyla; Bovidae
Source: Ensembl